Molecule: non-coding RNA, 429 nt
Organism: Paramuricea clavata
Lineage: Eukaryota; Metazoa; Cnidaria; Anthozoa; Malacalcyonacea; Plexauridae
Source: the annotation of a GenBank genome assembly
CUUCGACGGGUGAUCUAUCAGUAAUAUAAUAAUAUCAAUCACAAAUUUACAGUGUUUUUCAUUUAAUUCAAUUUAGAAAGUGCGGUAAUAAGCUGUUAGUGUGGCAAUAAACAUCGAGGCAAUUAUUUGGAUACGCUUCGCAGUUUGACUUCAUAUUACAAGCAGCGAUGAUGGCGAACACUCGUGGCUGGAAAUGCUUGGUUAUCAGUAUAACAGCUCUCGUUGCUUUUGAUGUUGUCGUUGUAUGUGGUGAAAUAGACAAAGGUUAGCACUAUAUAUACAUAUAUGUAGCUAAAAAUUAUCUGUAGAGUGUAGUGUUGUUGGGUCUCUAUAUCUAUAAUUUACGAGCUUGAUUCAAGGACUAUAAUUGCUAUACCUGGAAACUAUAAUCCUCCCUGAUAGUUCUUUCAGGCCGAGAGUUGAUGAGAG